AGAGUGAACGCUGGCGGUAGGCCUAACACAUGCAAGUCGAACGGCAGCACGGUAAGAGCUUGCUCUUAUGGGUGGCGAGUGGCGGACGGGUGAGGAAUACAUCGGAAUCUACCUUUUGGUGGGGGAUAACGUAGGGAAACUUACGCUAAUACCGCAUACGCCCUUCGGGGGAAAGCCGGGGACCAGCAAUGGCCUGGUGCUGAUAGAUGAGCCGAUGUCGGAUUAGCUAGUUGGUGAGGUAAUGGCUCACCGAAGGCGACGAUCCGUAGCUGGUCUGAGAGG
RNAcentral lists this ribosomal RNA (282 nucleotides) under uncultured soil bacterium. RNAcentral's name for it is "partial 16S ribosomal RNA". It matches the Rfam family "Bacterial small subunit ribosomal RNA", at positions 26 to 299 of the family's 1533-position model. The record is from RNAcentral.